UACGGAGGAUGCGAGCGUUAUCCGGAUUUACUGGGUGUAAAGGGAGCGUAGACGGCUGAGCAAGUCUGAAGUGAAAGGCGGGGGCCCAACCCCCGGACUGCUCUGGAAACUAUGUGACUGGAGUGCAGGAGAGGUGAGCGGAAUUCCUAGUGUAGCGGUGAAAUGCGUAGAGAUCGGGAGGAACACCAGUGGCGAAGGCGGCCUACUGGGCUUUAACUGACGCUGAGGCACGAAAGCGUGGGUAGCAAACAGG
This 253-nucleotide ribosomal RNA is filed under the name uncultured Eubacteriales bacterium. RNAcentral describes it as "uncultured Clostridiales bacterium partial 16S ribosomal RNA". It matches the Rfam family "Bacterial small subunit ribosomal RNA", at positions 524 to 776 of the family's 1533-position model. The record is from RNAcentral. Lineage: Bacteria; Bacillati; Bacillota; Clostridia; Eubacteriales.